AGCUCCAAUAGCGUAUAUUAAAGUUGUUGCAGUUAAAAAGCUCGUAGUUGAAUUUUGGCCUUGGCCGGGAGGUCUUUGCUCUGCAUAGCACUUCUCUGGCUGAGGCUUUCCUUCUGGCUAACUAGUCUUCGAUUUAUUUCGUGGGUUAGGGAACCAGGACUUUUACUUUGAAAAAAUUAGAGUGUUUAAAGCAGGCUUACGCUUGAAUACAUUAGCAUGGAAUAAUAAAAUAGGACUUUGGUUUUAUUUUGUUGGUUUUCGAAACCAAAGUAAUGAUUAAUAGGGAUAGUUGGGGGCAUUACUAUUGAGCCGUCAGAGGUGAAAUUCUUGGAUUGGCUCAAGAGUAACUACUGCGAAAGCAUUUGCCAAGGAUGUUUUCAUUAAUCAAGAACGAAAGUAC
RNAcentral lists this ribosomal RNA (400 nucleotides) under phytoplankton environmental sample. RNAcentral's name for it is "partial small subunit ribosomal RNA". It matches the Rfam family "Eukaryotic small subunit ribosomal RNA", at positions 587 to 992 of the family's 1831-position model. The record is from RNAcentral.